AUCCGAACUGCUCUUGGCUGAGGGACGAUGAUGCGUCGGCUGCUCCAAUUGGCAGCGCCGG
Molecule: small RNA, 61 nt
Filed under: Sinorhizobium meliloti 2011
Lineage: Bacteria; Pseudomonadati; Pseudomonadota; Alphaproteobacteria; Hyphomicrobiales; Rhizobiaceae
Description: putative ncRNA
Source: RNAcentral